RNAcentral lists this ribosomal RNA (253 nucleotides) under uncultured bacterium. RNAcentral's name for it is "partial 16S ribosomal RNA". It matches the Rfam family "Bacterial small subunit ribosomal RNA", at positions 524 to 776 of the family's 1533-position model. The record is from RNAcentral.
UACGUAGGGGGCAAGCGUUGUCCGGAAUCAUUGGGCGUAAAGAGCGUGUAGGCGGCCCGGUAAGUCCGCUGUGAAAGUCCAGGGCUCAACCCUGGGAUGCCGGUGGAUACUGUCGGGCUCGAGUCCGGAAGAGGAGUGUGGAAUUCCUGGUGUAGCGGUGAAAUGCGCAGAUAUCAGGAGGAACACCAAGGGCGAAGGCAGCACUCUGGGACGUGACUGACGCUGAGGCACGAAAGCUAGGGGAGCAAACAGG